Molecule: long non-coding RNA, 266 nt
Organism: Pelobates fuscus (common spadefoot toad)
Lineage: Eukaryota; Metazoa; Chordata; Amphibia; Anura; Pelobatidae
Exons: 3
Source: RefSeq, a predicted model, not a curated record
UACACCUCUCAGGCAGUUACAGCUUCAAUGAUUUCACCACGUCCUCAUGCAGCAAUUCCCACAAACUGCUCAAGACUGGAAAUUACACCUGACAGCCUGAUUGUUAUGGAUAGAUGGAGCCAAAAUGCUAGUGAAAAAAAGACGAAUCGAUGCUGUUGGCUCUCCAGAAAGGGGAUUCAGGCUACCCUUUAAGGAAAUGUUUCAUCAUUUCUAUACUACAGCCGAAUGGUCCUGGACCAUUUGAAGUCACAUGUUUUGCCCCGAGC